UGGAGAGUUUGAUCCUGGCUCAGGACGAACGCUGGCGGCGUGCCUAAUACAUGCAAGUCGAGCGGACUGUUCCUUCGGGGACAGUUAGCGGCGGACGGGUGAGUAACACGUAGGCAACCUGCCUGUAAGACCGGGAUAACUAUCGGAAACGAUAGCUAAGAGCGGAU
This 167-nucleotide ribosomal RNA is filed under the name Paenibacillus piri. Its description in RNAcentral is "Paenibacillus sp. MS74 partial 16S ribosomal RNA". It matches the Rfam family "Bacterial small subunit ribosomal RNA", at positions 1 to 174 of the family's 1533-position model. Lineage: Bacteria; Bacillati; Bacillota; Bacilli; Caryophanales; Paenibacillaceae. The record is from RNAcentral.